GGUUAAGUGACUAAGCGUACAUGGUGGAUGCCUUGGCAGUCAGAGGCGAUGAAGGACGUACUAACCUGCGAUAAGCUGUGAGAAGUCGGUAAGAGACGCUAUUACUCACAGAUUUCCGAAUGGGGAAACCCACCCAAGAUAACUUGGGUAUCGUUACAUGAAUACAUAGUGUAACGAGGCGAACCGGGAGAACUGAAACAUCUAAGUACCCCGAGGAAAAGAAAUCAACCGAGAUUCCC
This 239-nucleotide ribosomal RNA is filed under the name Limimaricola sp. G21655-S1. RNAcentral's name for it is "partial 23S ribosomal RNA". It matches the Rfam family "Bacterial large subunit ribosomal RNA", at positions 1 to 239 of the family's 2925-position model. The record is from RNAcentral. Lineage: Bacteria; Pseudomonadati; Pseudomonadota; Alphaproteobacteria; Rhodobacterales; Paracoccaceae.